AUUGAACGCUGGCGGCAUGCCUUACACUUGCAAGUCGAACGGCAGCACGGGUGCUUGCACCUGGUGGCGAGUGGCGAACGGGUGAGUAGUACAUCGGAACAUGUCCUGUAGUGGGGGAUAGCCCGGCGAAAGCCGGAUUAAUACCGCAUACGAUCCACGGAUGAAAGCGGGGGACCUUCGGGCCUCGCGCUAUAGGGUUGGCCGAUGGCUGAUUAGCUAGUUGGUGGGGUAAAGGCCUACCAAGGCGACGAUCAGUAGCUGGUCUGAGAGGACGACCAGCCACACUGGGACUGAGACACGGCCCAGACUCCUACGGGAGGCAGCAGUGGGGAAUUUUGGACAAUGGGCGAAAGCCUGAUCCAGCAAUGCCGCGUGUGUGAAGAAGGCCUUCGGGUUGUAAAGCACUUUUGUCCGGAAAGAAAUCCUUGACUCUAAUACAGUCGGGGGAUGACGGUACCGGAAGAAUAAGCACCGGCUAACUACGUG
RNAcentral lists this ribosomal RNA (486 nucleotides) under uncultured bacterium. Its description in RNAcentral is "partial 16S ribosomal RNA". It matches the Rfam family "Bacterial small subunit ribosomal RNA", at positions 30 to 507 of the family's 1533-position model. The record is from RNAcentral.